CCGGAUGCUUAACCGAUUGAGCCACCCAGGUACCCCUACCACAAUUAAAAAAAAAAAAAUCCUUUGGGGAUUCCCAGCUGGCUCGGUCGAUAAGCAUGUGACUCUUGGGCUCAGCGUCCUGAGCUCAGUCUCCACAUUGGGUGUGGAGCCUGCUGAAAAAUAAACAAAUAAGGAAGUCCAUCUGUCCUUUGGUGUCCCCGCCACUGGAAAUUUCUCACUGGAAUUCAUGCCAGGCUGUGGCUCCUGCCAUCUUGUUUUGUGCCCCCACCCACUUCAUUUCAUUUCUCUGACCUUGCCUGUCUUCUCUCUUCUUGGGGUCCCUUUUCCCUAAGCUCCCAUUAUGACGCUGGUAAAGCCGUUGAGUCCCUCGCGUAUUUAUUUAACCGCGUCCCUUCAACCAUGUCCCGGGCACCGCCCUCCCCUUCCUCGACCAAAGUGGCUCAUCAAGAUGUUUUCCUAAACAAAACUGUUCUCACCCUGCUAAAUGCAUUGAAAACAUGCCAUCUGCUGUAUACGCGGGUCUCCUGAGAAAUUGAGGAGUCCAAGCCCGCAGCUGAGACUCAGAGCUCCUCUCCACCAGCUGCCAGGCCGAGGCUAGACCCCGGGGUCCCAGGAGUGAAUUUGUCAGCGUAAAGGCCGCUUCGGGCAGCCUCUUGGCAGCCUGCCGACAGCCCCUUCCCGCGCCACCCCGUCUGUCUGAGCGCCACGUAGACCAAGCCUCAGAUGUGCGGGCCCGAGGAGAAAACGGAGGAUGACAGCCAGGACCGCUCGCCAAGCCGAGAUGAGAAAAAUUAAACACGGAAAGAAAACGUCUGAGCUGGGGUCUGAACCACCGAGCGCAGCCAAGCAUGGGUCCGGAAUCUGGUCUCCUAACCACCACUCCAUGCUGCCACCACUAUAGGGCUCCGCUCCCUUGAAAAAUUCCACCUGCUAUAGCUAACCUCUGUUUGACACAAGAGAAACUGAAGCCCGUCCAGGUUUCACCAUGCCUCAGUGAGGCCCUGGAGCCUCGCCAGCUCCAGGAAGCCCCCUCUGAUUACUCCAGAGUGAGGAAAAGGAUCUAGUCGGCCCCAUAUACGGUUAUAUCCCCAGCGCCUAAUACUAUGCCUGGCACAAGUGGGGGCUCAAGAGCAAGAGGGAAGUUUUGGACGAUGGCGUCUUCCUCGGACGGUCCCAGGAGUGUGGCUGUUUUGAAAAAUCAGGCGUUCCUGCCAGAGGCGCUUCAGGCUUUCAACAGCCCUCUUAGGAAUGGAAGACAGCCCCUGAAUAGAAAUAAAGGAAGGGGAAGAGUGCUUAUGAAGUGCGUGAUCGGUGUUUUCAGGCGGAUCACUCAGGGGGACGUCCCGCAGCGCUCCUCUCUCUUUCUCAGGAUCCCAGCGAUUAACGUCACAAGCCCUUCCCGGAGACCGUGCAGCGAGACGCUGGAGGAGAACCGAGAAGUGAGACGUCAGUGAGUCAGAACUCAUUCAAAGCCCCGGAGUUUCCCGGCCGUUACCUUCCACGCCUGGACCUGUGAGUCAGGGUCAUCUCGCCCCCGUUGUGUGUGGUGCCUACAUGCCUCCCUGCCCUGCUCUUCCGGGGGCCCCAUCCCAGCCCUCACGCGUGCACACACACCGGCCCCGGCCGGCCGCGCGUCCCCUGCCGCGUGUCCUGGCGAGGGUGCGGGUGCAGGCGCGCCCGGCUUAUUCACUCACCCCCGGGGGGUGUGCACGGGCCCCUUGGGUGCUGAGCUCAGGCUCUGCACGGCCAGAGACGAACCGAAAAAAGAAAAAUAAAUAUUAGUACUUCCUUUCCCAUAAAUGUUGCAACAGUCUAGCUGUAGCUUAGAGCGUAUAUUUUUUUAAGUCCAUUUAUUUGUUUGGGGGGGUGGGAGGGGCAGAGCAGGAGAGAGAAAGAAUCCUAAGCAGGCUCCAUGCUCAGUGUGGAGCCC
This is a long non-coding RNA of Leopardus geoffroyi (Geoffroy's cat), 1930 nucleotides long. RefSeq lists it as uncharacterized. The transcript is spliced from 6 exons. NCBI's taxonomy places the organism in Eukaryota, Metazoa, Chordata, Mammalia, Carnivora, Felidae. The record is from RefSeq and is a predicted model, not a curated record.